This 396-nucleotide ribosomal RNA is filed under the name uncultured bacterium. RNAcentral's name for it is "bacterial SSU rRNA". It matches the Rfam family "Bacterial small subunit ribosomal RNA", at positions 28 to 412 of the family's 1533-position model. The record is from RNAcentral.
GACGAACGCUGGCGGCGUGCUUAACACAUGCAAGUCGAGGGCACUUUGGGGGCAACUCUGGAGUGACCGGCGAACGGGUGCGUAACACGUGAGCGACCCUUGCCUCGUGGUGGGGGAUAGCCGGCCCAACGGCCGGGUAAUACCGCAUAGGGUGCUUUCUUCGCAUGGAGAGAGUAGCAAAGCCGUGCAGCAAUGCACUGGCGCCACGAGGGGGGCUCGCGGCCAUCAGCUAGUUGGGGGGUAAUGGCCCACCAAGGCGACGACGGGUAGCUGGUCUGAGAGGAUGGCCAGCCACAUUGGGACUGAGAGACGGCCCAGACUCCUACGGGAGGCAGCAGUGGGGAAUAUUGGACAAUGGGCGCAAGCCUGAUCCAGCAAUGCCGCGUGAGUGAAGAA